AAACCGAACAGACAAGUUUAUUAAAACAAGAGAACAAUGACCAGUAGACAAUGGGGCAAAACUAUAACACGCACUAGCCUAGAUCAUUGAGUAUUAUUGUGGUUGCUGAUUCAAUACCAAUAUUUGAAUUCCAAAUUUCAUUUCAACGAAUAUACAAUUUCAUUAGUUGCGUUCAACGUUACACAUAUUUGAUAGAUUAAAACAUCAAACUCACCCCGCAUUAUAAAACAGGCCUUUCUUUUUUGCUGUUGUAGCGAACUUAGAAAGAGUGGCUCAUUUUUCUUCCUCAGGUAAGGACGAUAAGUAUUCUUUUCACUAUCCUUUUUUUCUUGAAUGGGAUUUCAGAAAAGUUCAAGAAUGUCACAUUAAAUUUCGUUUGGUAGCGAUUUCUUUAAAGCCAAUUGGUUUAAUGCAUGGUCAUUUUAGAUAACUUCACAAACCACUAACUUCCGACAAAGACCAAAGCUUCAUUAACGUACGUAUAUGACCGUCAACCCCCCCUCCCCCCUUUUUCUACAGGGGCGCAGUGGUGUGGCCAAAAUAUUAAAAAUUAAUGAAAAGCCAACAGCACAUGAAUGGUUAAGAUUUGGUAAUUGUUCUCUAUAUAACACUGCAAAAAAGAUUAUCAGAUUACCUUAAAAAUUUUGGAUUCAAGUAUCACUGUUCACUUGCAAUUAUACUUUUACUCGACAGUGAUAUAACAUUCAGUGGCCCCAGCACAAAGCUAUAACCACACCAUACCAUGCUUUCAAACUUUGAACUGGCUAUUAUUUAGUCACAUAUUAAGCAUAAAAUUUAACAAAAUGCUAGAAAAAUUAAGUAAAAUUGCUGUACAUGGAAAACCAAAUUAAUUGUUUUUAUUCAAAGCCUCUGAAAAAGUGGAGAAUGAACAGCACCUGUUACCUCUUCUCCUCGCCUUUCUCUGCCCUUACCGUAAAUUCCUUGUUUUUUCAAAAUCCAUUCACCAGUAACUACAACACUGCACAUAUCUUCAUAAGAAAUAUUCUCACAGAACUUGGAUUUUCUUUUCAAAAGUCUCCUCUUUCCAUUGCUUCUUUCUUCUUCAUUUUUUUCAGGUAAAGAAUGGAAAUGGAGUAAGAUGGUAUGGUCAAUUUCAUUUGGUGGUUCUACUACAGGCUUUCUUUCCAGAUCUUCAUCUACAACAUCUACAAAUGUGUACAUUCUAAAAGACUUUACCACAGACACAGACCAAGAAUGGAAAGACUACGAUCGCUUAGGGCCAGGACAAAAUGCGGAUGCGGACCACGGACUGCGGACAGGAGAAACUGCGGACUUUCACCUGCGGACUGGCCCAAAAUUUUUUGACAGAUUUUUCGUGGACUUAGGGAUAAAAUGCGGACCGUUUCCGGCGUUUCGUACAUGGAGCGAUUGAAAGUGCGGACCGGACAGGAUAAACUGCGGACUGGUAUCUGCGGACUCCAUGCCCAUAUCUAAUAUUAAAUUUCAAACUAAAAAUAGUAUUUAAAAAUCAACAUAUGCAUUAUUCAAAAUAUGAAAGUAAAGGACAGUUUACAUAACAUGGUUACUUCUUAACUAGGUAAACUCUUGGUACAACAAUGCAAAUAAAACAUGUAAUAAACUUAAAAGGAUUUGGGGUAUUUCCAAGGGGUUUUUUAAAACUCCUGAAAGGCAUAAUGCUGUUCUUUUGGAAGACAUUCCUUAUGGUACCAUUCUUUCCAAAGUUUGGUACCACGUUGCCGCCUUCUGAAGGACGACUUAACUGCGCUACGGUUGUCUAAUUCAAAUUCUUAGUUGUGCAUAAAAGAAAAUAGAAUAUAAUGGAUUUGGCCUAUAGGAAAAAAAUAAAUAAAAUAGUCAGCUGCUAA
RNAcentral lists this long non-coding RNA (1847 nucleotides) under Daphnia magna. RNAcentral describes it as "uncharacterized LOC116919672". Lineage: Eukaryota; Metazoa; Arthropoda; Branchiopoda; Diplostraca; Daphniidae. The record is from RNAcentral.